CUCGCUCUUUAUUGUUCUGCUCCAAAAGAUAUUUUCUUCCCUUGAUAUCAACUGAAGAUUCAGUUCAUGUCUCGAUCUAAAUCGAUCUAAAAUCGAUCUUCAGUUGCAGUCUUGUAAUCGAUCUGGGUUUGUCAAGGUUGAAAAGGUGAACUACUUUGAAGAAAAAACUCUGAAGAACUGAAGAACAUAGAAAGUGCAGGUAUUUGGGCUUAAGUCAAAAAGCAGUACUCUGGUGAUAUUUUAGAAGCAGUUGAAUCUUUAGAUUGGUUAAGCAAGUGGAGUCUGGUGAUACUUCUGGUGAUAUUUAGUCUUUCUUUCCCUGUUUUUCAAUGCCUCUGUCAGUUGACACAAACUAGGUUACCCAUCCAUUUUAAAAACAUCAACAUAGAUCGAACAUUGUAUGCCAGUUACAACAUACAUAAGUUUACUUGUGUACAUUCAAUUGAAGAAUCCUUUCUUUUAUGAUAAUAUUA
Molecule: long non-coding RNA, 473 nt
Organism: Papaver somniferum (opium poppy)
Lineage: Eukaryota; Viridiplantae; Streptophyta; Magnoliopsida; Ranunculales; Papaveraceae
Exons: 3
Source: RefSeq, a predicted model, not a curated record